GAUGAAGAACGCAGCGAAAUGCGAUACGUAGUGUGAAUUGCAGAAUUCAGUGAAUCAUCGAAUCUUUGAACGCACAUUGCACCUCUCGGUAUUCCGGGAGGUAUGCCUGUUCGAGCGUCAUUUGUACCCUCAAGCUCUGCUUGGUGUUGGGUGUUUGUUCCGCCUCUCUGUGUGAACUCGCCUCAAAACAAUUGGCAGCCGGCGUACUUGUUUCGGAGCGCAGCACAUUUUGCGAUCCAGAUCAACGUACAGCGGCAUCCAAGAAGCCUUAUUUAACGCUCUUGACCUCGGAUCAGGUAGGGAUACCCGCUGAACUUAAGCAUAUCAAUAAGCGGAGGA
RNAcentral lists this unclassified non-coding RNA (339 nucleotides) under soil metagenome. RNAcentral's name for it is "partial contains 5.8S ribosomal RNA, internal transcribed spacer 2, and large subunit ribosomal RNA". The stretch from base 1 to 120 matches the Rfam family "5.8S ribosomal RNA", at positions 35 to 154 of the family's 154-position model. The record is from RNAcentral.